GUUAAAAAGCUCGUAGUUGGAGUUCUGCCAGGUGCCACCUGUCCGCCCCAGUGGUGAGUACGUGGUGCGCAUUUGGCCCUUUCAAGGGGAGCGUAUUUGCACUUAAUUGUGUGGUGCGGGAUCCUUGACUUUUACUUUGAGGAAAUAAGAGUGUUCCAAGCAGGCUCUCGUCGUGCAUAGCUCAGCAUGGAAUAAUAGCAUUGGACCUCGAUUCUAAGCUGUUGGUUGCCAGAAGCGAGGUAAUGAUGAAGAGGGAUAGUUGGGGGCAUUCGUAUUUAACUGUCAGAGGUGAAAUUCUUGGAUUUGCUAAAGACGGACUACUGCGAAAGCAUCUGCCAUGGAUGUUUUCAUUGAUCAAGAACGAAAGUUAGGGGAUCGAAGACGAUCAGAUACCGUCCUAGUCUUAACUAUAAACCAUGCCGGCUAGAGAUCGGAGGUUGUUCGUUUUGUGACGCCUUCAGCAUCUUGAGAGAAAUCAAAGCCUUUGGGUUCCGGGGGGAGUAUGGUCGCAAGGCUGAAACUUAAAGGAAUUGACGGAAGGGCACCACCAGGAGUGGAGCCUGCGGCUUAAUUUGACUCAACACGGGGAAACUCACCAGGUCCAGACUGGGUAAGGAUGUACAGAUUGACAGCUCUUUACAGAUUCUCAGGGUGGUGGUGCAUGGCCGUUCUUAGUUGGUGGAGUGAUUUGUCUGGUUAAUUCCGUUA
Molecule: ribosomal RNA, 708 nt
Filed under: uncultured marine alveolate
Lineage: Eukaryota
Description: SSU rRNA
Rfam family: Eukaryotic small subunit ribosomal RNA
Source: RNAcentral